AGAGUUUGAUCCUGGCUCAGGAUGAACGCUGGCGGCGUGCUUAACACAUGCAAGUCGAGCGAAGCGCAUAAGUUUGAUUCUUCGGAUGAAAAUUUUGUGACUGAGCGGCGGACGGGUGAGUAACGCGUGGGUAACCUGCCUUACACAGGGGGAUAACAGUUAGAAAUGACUGCUAAUACCGCAUAAGACCCCGGUACCGCAUGGUACAGAGGUAAAAACUGAGGUGGUGUAAGAUGGACCCGCGUCUGAUUAGGUAGUUGGUGAGGUAACGGCUCACCAAGCCGACGAUCAGUAGCCGGCCUGAGAGGGUGGACGGCCACAUUGGGACUGAGACACGGCCCAGACUCCUACGGGAGGCAGCAGUGGGGAAUAUUGCACAAUGGGGGAAACCCUGAUGCAGCGACGCCGCGUGAGCGAUGAAGUAUUUCGGUAUGUAAAGCUCUAUCAGCAGGGAAGAAAAUGACGGUACCUGACUAAGAAGCCCCGGCUAACUACGUG
RNAcentral lists this ribosomal RNA (498 nucleotides) under uncultured Dorea sp. RNAcentral describes it as "bacterial SSU rRNA". It matches the Rfam family "Bacterial small subunit ribosomal RNA", at positions 8 to 507 of the family's 1533-position model. Lineage: Bacteria; Bacillati; Bacillota; Clostridia; Lachnospirales; Lachnospiraceae. The record is from RNAcentral.